This is a long non-coding RNA of Oncorhynchus tshawytscha (Chinook salmon), 505 nucleotides long. Lineage: Eukaryota; Metazoa; Chordata; Actinopteri; Salmoniformes; Salmonidae. The record is from Ensembl.
GUUUGGUAAAGGUGUGUGAAACAGGUGUGUCAGGUAGAGUUGUGUGAUACAGGUGUGUGGUAGAGGAGUGUGAUACAGGUGUGAGGUAGAGAUGUGUGAUACAGGUGUGUGAUAGAGUUGUGUGAUACAGGUGUGUGGUAGAGAAGUGUGAUACAGGUGUGUGGUAGGGGUGUGUGAUACAGGUGUGUGGUAGAGGUGUGUGAUAGAGGAGUGUGAUACAGGUGUGUGGUAGAGGUGGUUGAUACAGGUGUGUGUGAUAGAGGUGUGUGAUACAGGUGUGUGGUAGGGGUGUGUGAUACAGGUGUGUGGUAGAGGUGUGUGAUAGAGGAGUGUGAUACAGGUGUGUGGUAGAGGUGGUUGAUACAGGUGUGUGAUACAGGUGUGUGUGUGUGAUACAGGAGCGUGGUACAGGUGUGUGAUAGAGGUGUGUGAUACAGGUGUGUGGUAGAGGUGUUUGGUAGAGGUGUGUGGUAGAGGUGUUUGAUACAGGUGUGAGGUAGAGGUG